Molecule: ribosomal RNA, 853 nt
Filed under: uncultured bacterium
Lineage: Bacteria
Description: bacterial SSU rRNA
Rfam family: Bacterial small subunit ribosomal RNA
Source: RNAcentral
UACACAUGCAGUCGACGGUAGCACAGAGGAGCUUGCUCCUUGGGUGACGAGUGGCGGACGGGUGAGUAAUGUCUGGGAAACUGCCCGAUGGAGGGGGAUAACUACUGGAAACGGUAGCUAAUACCGCACAACGUCGCAAGACCAAAGAGGGGGACCUUCGGGCCUCUUGCCAUCGGAUGUGCCCAGAUGGGAUUAGCUAGUAGGUGGGGUAACGGCUCACCUAGGCGACGAUCCCUAGCUGGUCUGAGAGGAUGACCAGCCACACUGGAACUGAGACACGGUCCAGACUCCUACGGGAGGCGGCAGUGGGGAAUAUUGCACAAUGGGCGCAAGCCUGAUGCAGCCAUGCCGCGUGUAUGAAGAAGGCCUUCGGGUUGUAAAGUACUUUCAGCGAGGAGGAAGGCGUUGUGGUCAAUAACCGCAGCGAUUGACGUUACUCGCAGAAGAAGCACCGGCUAACUCCGUGCCAGCAGCCGCGGUAAUACGGAGGGUGCAAGCGUUAAUCGGAAUUACUGGGCGUAAAGCGCACGCAGGCGGUCUGUCAAGUCGGAUGUGAAAUCCCCGGGCUCAACCUGGGAACUGCAUCCGAAACUGGCAGGCUAGAGUCUUGUAGAGGGGGGUAGAAUUCCAGGUGUAGCGGUGAAAUGCGUAGAGAUCUGGAGGAAUACCGGUGGCGAAAGCGGCCCCCUGGACAAAGACUGACGCUCAUGUGCGAAAGCGUGGGGAGCAGACAGGAUUAGAUACCCUGGUAGUCCACGCCGUAAACGAUGUCGACUUGGAGGUUGUGCCCUUGAGCGUGCUUCCGGAGCUAACGCGUUAAGUCGACCGCUGGGGGAGUACGCGCAGGUUAAGA